CCUGCCCAUGGAAAAGGGUGGCACUGGAUGGGAUUUAAGGUCCCUUCCAAUCCAAACCAUUCCAUAAUUCCCUGACUCUCAGGGUGGUGCCGUUGUCCCUUGAAGAAGGAAAACCAAGGCACAGCCAAGGGACAAAACUGUGCCCAUUUCCCUGCAAGAAAGCAGUGGGAUGAAAAAGCUGAGCCUGCAACAAAUCUUAAAUAAAGAAACAGAUAAAAAAAUAAACCAGGAGGAAGUGGAUCUUACAGAUCACAAGUGAAAAAUAUUUACCUUGAAGUACAAACCCCAUUCCCAAAGCUGCUUCCCAAAGCCCAGAGGCUGAUAAGAGCGUUUGGGUAGGAAGAAAUAAAAUCAAGGCACAGUGGAAGUUGGAAGGCAGCAGCAAUAAAUUCUGAGCAAAUUAAAGCAGAAUUAUUUAUAGAGACAAAAGUCCUUCCUGAUCCUUUUAGAGCAGGAGCCUGCACCACUUGUUCUGUGACAUCCACCCAGGCAAGGAUUUAUCCCUAAAGCAAUUAAAGUUGCAAAUAUUUCAACUACAGCCACAUCUCUUUGACACCAGCACCACACACCCCACAAGUUCAAAGAGAAUUUGGCAGAGUCCAACUAUGGGUGUGCAUUAAAAGCUCCUCAGAUCUGGACUGGCACCUCUCACUUGUUUUUCAGAAUAAUCUCUUUUAUUUUUUAGGUGCCCAGCACUUCCAGAAUUCUGGGAGAAGCAAUCAAAACUCAAACAUCCAAAAAGAGUGUGGAGUCAAACUUCAGCUGAGAAUAUUCUCUUGAAAAUCUGCUAGCAGGGAAUCCACGGGCUGUGGGGCAUAAAAUUUUUGCUUCAUGUUUCUUUAUCUGGAAAAAUCAAAAGGGGGAUUUGUUUUGAAUUUUGAUUUUCUUAAAAAUCAGCUGGCAAAGGAUUCACCUGCUGAUGUACAAAGAUCAGCCCUGACCACAGGCCCAGCUGGGAUUUAUCCUCAUCUGCUUCCCCUUGUAACCUGUGCUCCUCUACCCAGGCCUGGCAUCACCUGCUUGGAGAACAGCUGGAAUUCCCAUUCCCUCCCCAAAUCUGGCUUUGUCAAUUAAAUAAUAAAAGGUGUUAAAUAGGCAACUUGUUCUUCCUGCAUCUCCCUCAGCUCCUCCCACAGAGCAACCCCAGCCAUGGCAAAUGUUUAUUUUUCAGUCCCUUUGAAGAAGUUUUUUUGGAAAAUCAGUUUAUUUUGGGUGGAGAGCUCAGUGCAGGAGCCAGAACUGGAAAUAUGUGUGCUUUAAUAUAUUUGUUUUGUACUUCUUCCUCUGCUUGAAAAGUUUUUUCUUAGUGAGGGAUGAGAAGAACCAAUGGCUAAAGGAAUCAAUCCACUCCUUGGAACAUUCAGGGUGUAAUCCUUGGUACAGGAUAAACCAGGAAUUAUCCUUAUUUCAACCUUCCAACCAGGACCAGGAAACUGAAGAGCUCAGUCCUGUCAGAGGUGUGCCAGCACUCACCUUGGAAUGUUUUUUCGGACACCAGGAGUCCUGCAUCCACGAACUGCUCACAGGUGCCACUGAAGAGGCCGUACGUGAGGCUGACGGUGACGGUGGAGUUGGUGCGGGAGAACCGAACGUCGCUGCUCACCCACUGCGGGGUCGCCAGCACCACACAGAUCACCACGAAGGAGCUCACACAGCUACCUGUAAAAACAUCAUAAAACCUGGAAUUAAAGCUGUAGCUUGACAGGACACACCUCAUCACUUGAGAGAAAGGAGAAGAGAUUGCUUUCCUCUGACUCAGAGAAAAUAUCUCCUGAUCAGCACCUUAUCAACUCUGCCCCCACGGAUCCUGACUCAGCCCUGCACAGCAAUAGAAGAGAAAAAUCAGAUUAAUUUGUUAUGAACCAGAGGAGCAGCAGAGAGAGCUGGAAUCCUUUGCUACAUAAAAUUACCCAUCAUUUUUAAGGAUUGGUUUUAUGUGAGUAUUUCAAUUCUGUUUAAGUCAGUUUGCUUUAAGCAACCAGGAAUGUAAAAAUACAAAAGGAAAACCUUUAAACUCAAACAUCUCACGCACAUCUAUUUUUUAAUGUUGCAAACACAUUCUUACAUGUGAAAGGAACAAAUCCCAUGGUGGUUUGAUGCCCACAGCUGCAGAAGGAUCAGA
Long non-coding RNA from Corvus hawaiiensis (hawaiian crow), 2122 nucleotides. RefSeq lists it as uncharacterized. The record is from RefSeq and is a predicted model, not a curated record. NCBI's taxonomy places the organism in Eukaryota, Metazoa, Chordata, Aves, Passeriformes, Corvidae. The transcript has 3 exons.